CCUAAGGAAUUUAGAAGCCCAAAUCCCAUUGACUUUUAUACUCUGCCUUAAUCAGUCACACAGCUUUGUCUAUAAAGCCUCAAUUCCUUAGCUUGGUAUUUCUAGCCAGAAACACUUCUUUUGUAACUUGCUUGUGUCACCUUUUUGAUUUGUUUUUUAGAUUGAGUCAAGUCAUCAUAGAAAAUUCAGUGGACACAACUUGAAAAGUAAAGACUGUUCUUCUUCCUUACUGAAAAGGAUAUUACAUGAAGUCGUUUUUCCAGUGUUGUCAGCACCUGGUUGGAACACAGAUGUGUGAAAGCUGUCUCCUUAACAGCAGCAAACCUUACUGGGAAACAGAAGGAAUGAUCUACCUCUCCUUUCCUCUUCUAUGAAGAAACCUGGGUAUUAGAGCCCUAACUGGUCAGUG
Molecule: long non-coding RNA, 409 nt
Filed under: Chrysemys picta bellii (western painted turtle)
Lineage: Eukaryota; Metazoa; Chordata; Testudines; Emydidae
Description: lncRNA (ENSCPBG00000024613.1)
Source: RNAcentral